AGGCGCUGUUGACGCCCAGACCUGAGUAGUUGCCUCCGAGCGCAUCGAUGCUGUCGGUCGAUCUUCGAGUAGAGGCUGAUCACAGGGCUUCAGAAGGACAGAAAGGCAGGGGAGGCAUGGACACUUGAGAAGAAAAGGUUCCUUGUCUUCUGGAGGUUAAUGGAAACUUUUUGCCUGCCGAAAAGCAAGAAUUCCAGCACUGUUUACAGCAUUUGCUAUAAAGGAGAAGACCCAUGUUUCUUCAGACUAUUCAAAGAGUCCAUCCUUACAAAACCACUAUAGACUACUGGCAAUGGUAAGGGUAAAUGGUUCUUCCUGGGCUUGGCCGGAGUCCUGCCACAGGUGGUCAAUAGAUACAAACUGAAAGCUGAACAGAUGAAGCCACGGCAGUGUCUAUCAUUAAUCACGGCUGUGCUCUGAUCUUCUGUUUCUGGGUGUCGCAGUUACCCAGCAUCUAUCGUCCCAAUGGCUCUGCUAAGAAGGUCUUUUGUUCCACUCCAGAUGGGAUUGCCCAGUGAAAUAUUGGAGCUCCACUGAAAUUCAAUAAAUAAUGAAAACUUGUUAAGUGUAAGUUUCUCAAUAAGUUAUAGGACACUCUGGUGAAAUCUCACCCCAGGGUGAAUUAAGAAAGCUGCCUGUGUUCCUGUUUCAAUACCAGCCUCAUUGAAUUGCUUAAAGCUUCUGUAUUGGUAGGGGGAAGAUGUGACCUGAAAAUGGAAAGGGAUAAAACUGUUCAUUAAAAUGUCAUGAGAGAGAAUUGCUAUUGGAAAGCAUACAUCUUCAAACAUCCUUGCAGUCCCUGACUAGAAAUGCCUCAGACAUAUGAUAUAUUGUGUUGCUGUGUGUUUAUCCGUCAACAUGUCCUUCCUGCCUCGCUGUGUGGUUGUGAUGGCAAUAGGAAGGUGAGUCUUCAAAAUGAAAAAAAUUCAAAGUUAAAGCUGUUAAAAUUUCAGUAUACAAACUAUAACAAAUAGAGAAUGCUUUCAAAUUAUAUAUUUUUUGCACCAACUAACUAAUGCUAUUAAUAUACGUUGUUUUUUUAAAAAAAACUUAGAAGAUGGCACAGAAGGUAAAACACUUGUGCAAAUAUUAGGACCUCCCCAAUUCAGUUCCCCAGCACCCACAUCAAAAGCCUGGCUUGCAGCUCUAUGCAUGUAUUUCCAGUUCUAAAUGUCUUCCUCAGACUCACCUCAUUCUGGCCACUAGGUGGCGACAAAUGACUUUAGAAUGCGGUGUGACUGCUGAGUUGGUGGCUGCAGACUGUUUCCUGUUGUUAACACAGACCUUCCCUUUAUGGUAGAAUGUUCUAUUGGAUCUUAUGCAUGUCCAAUAGAGGCAGGAGCCAUUUCAGAUUCACCCCUGGGGAUUCUAUUCUCUUUCCUUUUCCUUCCAUUUUAGGACUGAUAACUCCAUGUCUGUGCAAAAGAGUUAAUUAGUCUCAUCAGGCAUAAACUUGAUACCUAUGUCCACAUUUAGCUCCGGAGAGAGAAGUUGUUUAAUUGGCAGUCAGGGUUAUUAGAAGGGUCUAGGAGAGUUGAGGGACUUUGCACUGAGGUGAUUUGAGCCAAGCACAGAGGUAAGGAUGUACUCCUGGGCUGUGUGCUUCUGUCAAAGAGAACAUUUACUAAUUUGCUGAUAAUUUGCAAUGGGAAUAUCCUAUGGACACGCCGAAGAACUGACGACUUGUCAUUUGAACACAGCAUGCACUUCAUUGGCCCACAAGAGUAUCAACAAUUAUGCUAUUCCUUGGAUAAAAUGCCCGCUUCUAGUGCAAUCUGCUGAUCUUUGAUGGAAGCAGCAAUAAAUGUUUACUAAUUGGCGAAGUAUGCUUUUGCCUUAUAAAAUGAGCAAGGACGAGUCAGGCGAAGUCUAAUUCUUUUUUCUCCCUCUGACAUUUUGUGUCCUAAGAAGAUUACAUGCAUAUCAAAUGAUCUUUGAACCCUUCUCCUGUAUUGUUUGCAGGCAUCUCAUGUAAUCCCUCUGAUAUUUCUACCCUCACUCUAGCUACAUAAAUAAAAUAUGUCAUGAGUUAGACAAUCUUUGUGCUGUAGCUCUGUGUACUUCUUACCUAGUUUACAUGUUUGGCUUUAUCGUCAGCUCUCCUUAGUGUUUCCUGUCUGUGUAUUUAUUCACAUUUGAGUUUUCCUCUUGUUAUCGCUAGCCCGCAUACCCCCUCUUUUUCUUUCACUUAUGAAAACACGGCUCUUUCAAAAUUGAGCUCUAGGUCAUUUCCUCCAUGAAACAAUGUCACAAAUCUACUGCCCGGGACUUGCAUCUGAUUGUCCCUUGGUACCAUUAGAUUGGCUCCAGGAGGUGUGAAUAGUACGGUUCAUGUUCCAGUCCUUUAUAGAACAUGGUAUCUUGUAAUAUAAUCUACAUACAUAACCUCAAAUACCCUAAGUCACUUCUAAAUGAUUAUAGUACUUGACAUGAUUAUGCAAAUAUUAUGUAAAUAGUUGCUAUACUGCGUUUUUAGAGAAAAUAACGAGAAAAAGUUUAUAUAGAAGGAUUUUAAAAAUGCUUUCCAUCUGUGAUUCAAUCCAUAGAAGUGUGUUCUAGACAAGAUGAGCCAGAUGCUCAGUUUAAGUCAGACUUUAGCCCACUCUUUGUUGCUCUUGGAUUGAUCUACAUACAUGCACAUCUGUACACAACUAUCUGGCUUAUAAAGUUCCAAGGGCAAGGAGUAUAACUCGAGUGACAUCAGUGAAAAUUAUGUGUACAUUUUCAAGACAAAUUUGUUCAUCUCUAUGAUCCCAGAACCUAGAAUAGAGCAGAAUAAGUGUUCAUUGGGAUAGCUGAGGAAUCUACUUAAACUGAUGGAAUACUGAAUCAUUGACAGUAUUAGUCAGCGACACCUGUUGUGAAUAACUUCAUCACUGGUGACCUUCUACCCUUUAGCUUAUCUCAACCAUGGCAAUUUUCUCAAGUCAAUACAAUUCCCACUUCUACAUAAUUAGGAUUAUGAUAAUUAAGUGAGUAUACAUAAAUGGCACUGAAGAUUUCUGGGUAUAUAAUAAGGAAUUAAUUGCUUCUUUAAAGGUUUUAAAAUAGCAUUUUACUUUAUUAUGUGAGUAGGGUGAAGGUGGCCACAUGCAUUUCAGUGCAGGCACAUAGACAUACUUGUGGGAGUGGGUUCCCUGUGUGGAUCUGGAUGAUUGAACUUGGGCAGUCAGGCUUGGUGGCAAGCACCUUUACAUGCAGGCCACAUGCUUCUUGUUAUGAAUAUUGGUAUGAUUAUAAUAUUUUUUGCUACACAUUGUUUCUGGACAUGGUGGCACAUGCCUU
Molecule: small RNA, 3285 nt
Filed under: Rattus norvegicus (Norway rat)
Lineage: Eukaryota; Metazoa; Chordata; Mammalia; Rodentia; Muridae
Description: uncharacterized LOC102555425
Source: RNAcentral